Molecule: long non-coding RNA, 1404 nt
Organism: Homo sapiens (human)
Lineage: Eukaryota; Metazoa; Chordata; Mammalia; Primates; Hominidae
Product: long intergenic non-protein coding RNA 607
Source: Ensembl
AUGCUGGGGCUGAUUCAGGGAGAAACACUGCCUCUUAUUGAGUCACGAGCCCAUCCUGGAACUUCACUGGGCUUUGCUUGGAUGACUUGCCCGGCGUCCAUGGUCCAGACCUUCCCCAGCAGGCAGCAGAGUCCAAUGAGGCAGAACAGCCCAGAACGUUACUUCCCACUGUCUGCUUCUUCAACUCAUGAGAUGGAAACUAUCAGGAUCUCAGGAAUAGCUGAGGACGGCCUGCCUUCUUCUGGUUGUGUUUUCAAUGACUAAUUCAUAAACACAAGAGUUGUUUUAAGGCAGAGUAUCAUAUCGCAUCAAAACCGCUCCAUAAGUCCUGCCACUCCACGUGCAAUGCCAUGAACUUGAAGAAACUGCUGCUGCUGCAAACCAAUGGGCUUUGGGGAACUGUGCUUCCCUUCAGAAAGGAAAGAGUAUUUAACGAUGAAAAGGAAGGAUUGUGUCUUACUUAUACUUACGGGCUUGUGGUUCAGCGGAGACCACACUGGACUGGACUGAACAGACAACUGAAGGGCUCUCUCUACCUUUCAGCAUCUCUGUCUGCCUUUCUGACUACCUAAAAAUUACUGCAACCUCUGAUUCUGUUUCUAAGGUGGAUUUUCCCUACUCAUGCUUCCUAGAGAUUUGGUGAGGAUUUGUUGAGUCAUGGGACAUUUCAGCUUGCCAAGUGUCCCUUAACGGAGAGGAUGACUAUGUCACUGAAGAAGUGGAGGGGCUGAAAAUGGACUCAGCUCUUGGCCCCUGUAGAGACUGCAAGACUCCGUGCACAACGUGACAGUCGGGGCUUCCUCUGAGCACUGCGCCGUUCAGCCCUAUUGCGCAACCUGCCACGCCCUGUUACUGUAAAUGGAACACCGGCUGUGAGCUGGUCAAGGCCCUGCCAUGACAAGGCCACUUGCAUAGGACUCCAAAUUAAAAAAAAAAAAAAGGCCUUUCUUAUUGACUGAAAAACUGGUUGUGUUUUUCAUAUUUUUCACUUUCUGGAGCUGAAUUAUUAAUAGGCAAAAAUUAGGUGGGGCUUCAUUGAUAUUCUCACCAGCUUUUACAAACCAAGAAUCGGAAAGUGUGCCUCGGUGAGUUGCCUUUUGUUAGCAGUGUGGAGAUGCAGGCAAAAGUGAUCAGCGUGGUUUGUAUUUGCAGCCGCCCCUCCCCUCUCUUCAGAGUCUCUCCUUCCCGGCUGCAAGGUGCGUCUUUAAUGUGCGACACUGACAAGGCGUUUCAGCCAUGCAGCUAAUUAAUAUCAUGCCGAGGCUCAAUGUGACAGGUCCUUCAGACUCAUAAAUCAGAAACCACUAACAAAUGUCGUUCCUUUUCUGAUCUCUUUCUCUUGCUUUUUAAUAUGUUGAUUUACUUUCAGUAUGCAUAACCAAAAAAGAAACAAACCAAUAAAAA